UACAGAGGUGGCAAGCGUUGUUCGGAAUUACUGGGCGUAAAGGGCGCGUAGGCGGUCUUUCAAGUCCCGUGUGAAAUCCCUCGGCUCAACUGAGGAACUGCACGGGAAACUGUCUGGCUUGAGUUCGGGAGAGGGAAGCGGAAUUCCGGGUGUAGCGGUGAAAUGCGUAGAUAUCCGGAGGAACACCGGUGGCGAAGGCGGCUUCCUGGACCGACACUGACGCUGAGGCGCGAAAGCUAGGGGAGCAAACGGG
This 253-nucleotide ribosomal RNA is filed under the name uncultured bacterium. RNAcentral's name for it is "partial 16S ribosomal RNA". It matches the Rfam family "Bacterial small subunit ribosomal RNA", at positions 524 to 776 of the family's 1533-position model. The record is from RNAcentral.